CGGUGAGGAACCUGCCUUGGAGAGGGGAAUAACAACUCCGAAAGGAGUGCUAAUACCGCAUGAUGCAGUUGGGUCGCAUGGCUCUGACUGCCAAAGAUUUAUCGCUCUGAGAUGGCCUCGCGUCUGAUUAGCUAGUAGGCGGGGUAACGGCCCACCUAGGCGACGAUCAGUAGCCGGACUGAGAGGUUGACCGGCCACAUUGGGACUGAGACACGGCCCAG
RNAcentral lists this ribosomal RNA (221 nucleotides) under uncultured bacterium. Its description in RNAcentral is "partial 16S ribosomal RNA". It matches the Rfam family "Bacterial small subunit ribosomal RNA", at positions 116 to 334 of the family's 1533-position model. The record is from RNAcentral.